Molecule: transfer RNA, 73 nt
Filed under: Nocardiopsaceae bacterium
Lineage: Bacteria; Bacillati; Actinomycetota; Actinomycetes; Streptosporangiales; Nocardiopsidaceae
Also listed under: 1 other name
Description: tRNA-Arg
Rfam family: tRNA
About the family: Transfer RNA (tRNA) molecules are approximately 80 nucleotides in length. Their secondary structure includes four short double-helical elements and three loops (D, anti-codon, and T loops).
Source: RNAcentral
GCCCCGGUAGCUCAGCGGAUAGAGCAACUGCCUCCUAAGCAGUAGGUCGCGCGUUCGAGUCGCGCCCGGGGCG